GCAAUGGCGAUGUGUGAACGUCAGUGUCAGAACUCUAAAGAGUUAAUAGCUCAUCUGAAGAGCCAUAUUGUGGAAGGACACGUGGUCACUUGUCCAGUAAGAGGAUGCACAAAUACCUUUAGAGUUAAAUCAUCUUUUACUGCUCACAUGUCACGUAAACACAGAGUUUUCAGACAGCAGCAUUGGUGAUUUAUAUAGAGAGUCUGCAUGUCAAUCAUCAUCUGUUCCAACCACAUCAGAUGACUUUGUACCCUUGAUUUCCGAGCCUGCUGCACAGUCUAUUACACAUGAAGAUAACAUGGAAAUGCCCCCUGAAUUCUGUGAUCUUUUUCUGAGAAACGUUUCACUAUUCUACUUAAAAUUGCAGGGUCAGUUUCUACUGCCUGCUUCAACCAUACAGAACAUUGUAGAGGAAAUGCAGAACAUGCAUGAGUUGGGACAGACAUACAGUUUGGGUAAACUUGCAUCACUGUUAAAAGAUGACACAUCAUUAUCAGAGGAGGACAUCAACAAAGUCUGUGAGUCUGUCAAAAGCUAUGAUCUUUUUUCUGCAUGUCAUACCGGGCCAUUGAGGACAGUGCACUCCAGAGCUCAGAUCUUUAAAAAAGCCUUCAACUAUGCGGAACCAAAGAAAAUAUUUUUAGGGAGAGAUGAAAACAGAAAAGAUAGGUUUGCCUAUUAUGUGCCUUUAAGAGAGACUUUGAGAUGUCUGCUAGAGUCUGAUCUGUGGCAGAAAUCAGAAGAGCCCUCUACUGAGCCUCCUGCUGAUGUUCUGUGUGACAUAAGUGAUAGUAAGCUGUUUUAAAUAAAAUGAUUUUUUUGGUCAAAACCCAUUGACUUAAUUGAUUUCUAUCCAUUAACAUCUUACAUGAAGUAUGGGUACCAAAUGGUUCCACUGAAACACAGUGUGCUGUCACAAUAAUGGUGCUGUUAGUUUGGUACUUACGAAACACUGUAUAAAAGUGUAGUAUCAAGCAAGAUCAGCUUCAUAUUUUAAGACCAAAGGUACCACUUGGUGUAAAUUGACCUUUAUUCACAUUCUUUUAUCAGACAUCUUGGAAAUGGGGGGCAGCAUAAGGAGUUCCAUUACUAAGGUGCUGCCGGACCUGUCUGCCUCAAUCCUUGAAAUUGUACUGGAGGCACUACAAUCAUUAGGAGUGGAGACAUCUGAGAAACAAACCACACCAAAUAUGGAAAUUUCAAGCCAGGCCAGCAUAUCGUCUCCAUCUGUUUUAAGGUUUAAGGGUGGUGGCACAGCUAAGACCCAAGAGUCUCUUUCAAGACACUGAAUUUGAGCAGAAACCAUAAGGAUACUCAAAGGACCUGUGACUCUCAGGAAAUGCAUCAAAUGAGAGAGACAGAUGAAACAGUUUCAAGACAAUGGCAGGAAAAAAAUGCUGAAGAUUGAAACAAACCUUGGCUGGAAAUAUUUGAAGGUAUCUAGCCAGUCCACAAUGAAAGCUUCGUUGCACCCAAUGAGUCUUCUGGCAGAAAUGAUGGCGGCUGUAUUCUUUGGUUUCCCUAAACAUCACACCCUGCCUGUUUAUACGAGGCUCUUCAAUUAAGUCUGCACCCAAAGAUUCAAUAAGAGAGGGGAUCCUGCCAGUCCAAAGUGAACUCCUGAUGGACAUUGAAGUACUCCUGCAGAGCUUGUAUCUUCAACACCAUGCGCAUUAGAAACUCCACCGAGUCCUUUCCUUCACCAAGGCAGGACCCAGUGACUCAUUACUGUUGAUAGGUCAGGGGCAGGUAAUAUUUUGUUUCAUGUUUAUUCAUUCCUCCAUGGAUUACCAGCCAUAUAUAUGGACACAUGCUGUAUUCUCAA
This is a long non-coding RNA of Maylandia zebra (zebra mbuna), 1825 nucleotides long. RefSeq lists it as uncharacterized. Lineage: Eukaryota; Metazoa; Chordata; Actinopteri; Cichliformes; Cichlidae. The record is from RefSeq and is a predicted model, not a curated record.